Molecule: ribosomal RNA, 515 nt
Filed under: uncultured bacterium
Lineage: Bacteria
Description: partial 16S ribosomal RNA
Rfam family: Bacterial small subunit ribosomal RNA
Source: RNAcentral
GAUGAACGCUGGCGGCGUGCCUAAUACAUGCAAGUCGAGCGAAUGGAUUAAGAGCUUGCUCUUAUGAAGUUAGCGGCGGACGGGUGAGUAACACGUGGGUAACCUGCCCAUAAGACUAGGAUAACUCCGGGAAACCGGGGCUAAUACCGGAUAACAUUUUGAACCGCAUGGUUCGAAAUUGAAAGGCGGCUUCGGCUGUCACUUAUGGCUGGACCCGCGUCGCAUUAGCUAGUUGGUGAGGUAAAGGCUCACCAAGGCAACGAUGCGUAGCCGACCUGAGAGGGUGAUCGGCCACACUGGGACUGAGACACGGCCCAGACUCCUACGGGAGGCAGCAGUAGGGAAUCUUCCGCAAUGGACGAAAGUCUGACGGAGCAACGCCGCGUGAGUGAUGAAGGCUUUCGGGUCGUAAAACUCUGUUGUUAGGGAAGAACAAGUGCUAGUUGAAUAAGCUGGCACCUUGACGGUACCUAACCAGAGAGCCACGGCUAACUACGUGCCAGCAGCCGCCGUAA